AGAAAGAUAUGCUCUAAUAAUUUUGUACAUCAUACGAAAUACUUUCCAGGAUCAGUACAGGAUUUGCUUUGCAGCAAAGAUACAAUUGUGACAAUAAUUUAUUAGCAGAAACGUGUGAAGCUUUACAAAUUUUAAAAACCAAGGCAAGAAGACACUAUCAGGUAUAUCAUUCACCUUUUUAUAUCUUCAUGUAAUGACUAAUUUUUUGUACUUCUCUAAAAUAUACAUUUGAAAGAUUGCCCUUUGUAAAUAUUACAAAACCAAAUAAUUUUACGUGUAGUGCUAAAAAUGACUUUGAGAGUACUUCGCCGUAGUAAUUCCCAUGGAGCAAUUGUCGUGCACUGAGAAACAACCACACUGUCACACCAAUAAUGCCAUACGCUGCAGCUCGAACCACGCAACACAACAAUCCUGAAAAGCAUGAUUGAUAAGAAUUAUAGGUUGUUUCUACAUGCAGCCAACAUCUCUUAUUUAGUGCAUACAUUGUUUUGUUUACGACAUUGUGCAUAAAGUACCUUUCAAAUAUUUGAUACUAUAUUGCUAAAAGAAUAUCAAAUGCAGAAAUGAAGGGACAGUAUACGUCAAAAUCAGCAGGCCCACUUGCAAAAGAAGCUAAAGAAGCUAUUAUCAGGAGGAAACAACAACUACAAGAAAAAAGGAGUAAGAGAUGCAGGAAUACACAGGAAACAACCAAUAAAAUAGAAGAAGGUGCUUCACGGAAGAGAAAGGAACAAAUCAAUGAAAUAAGAGAUGUCAAGCGUUCAAGGAGAAAUGGGAGGGACAAUGACCUUCAAAGCAACAUCAUAGAAACAAGCAGCAGCACUACGUCCAGAAGUUAUGAUAGCACGAUAUGGAACUUUGGAAAGCCAACAUAUAGAUGCGAACAUUGCAAUGCAAUACUAUGGUGUGAGGAAAGAUUAAAUUCUCAUAAAGGAACCAAAAAACCUUCUUUCGGAAUUUGCUGUAAACAAGGUAAGAUUGACCUACCAAAGAUAGCAUAUCCUCCACCUUAUCUCGCAGGACUAUUAACAGGUGAAGGAAGUGAUGCAACAAACUUCAAAGAAAACAUCAGGUCAUACAACUCAAUGUUCUCAUUCACAUCAAUGGGAGGAGCUGUUGACAAAGAAAUAAACAAAGGCAAAGGACCAUAUGUUUUUAGACUGCAUGGCCAGAACUACCACCAUAUCGGAAGUCUACUACCUGAAGAAGGUAACAAACCUCGAUUCGCCCAGCUAUACAUCUAUCAGACAGAAAAUGAGGUUCAAAACAGGAUAGAUGCUUCAAGAUGCAAUGAUAAAAAAUCAACGGUGAACACUGCCAUUGUCGAAAAACUACAAAAUAUGCUUGAUGAGAACAACAUCCUCGCGAAAUCUUUCAGAAUGGCAAGAGAUAGAUUCAAAGAAGAAGACUACCACGAUUACACACUUCGGAUACUUGGGAAAAGGAACGGAACACACAACCUUCCAUCUGCAUCGGAAGUUGCAGCAUUGGUUGUAAGAGAUCCAACUGGAGAGAGUGAAGGACGAGACAUCGUUGUCGAGUACAAAAAUAUGGAACCUCACAGAAUAUCAGAAAUCCAUCCAAAGUUCAUGUCGAUGCAAUACCCGAUGUUGUUUCCAUACGGAGAAGACGGCUUCAAGCUUGAAAUACCUUACAAGCGAAGAAAAGAAGGUGACAAAAGCAGGAAAUAUGUAACUAUGCUGGACUACUACGCAUACUACCUACAGCAAAGACCUGACCAAGGAAUGUCACUGCUAACGUCUAGACAUCUAUCGCUGCAAUUUUGGGUAGAUGUUUACACAUGCAUUGAGCAAAACAGACUAAACUGGAUCAGGAAUAAUCAAGGGAAGUUACGAACUGAACUUUAUAGUGGACUGCAAGACGCGAUUGAGCGAGGGGACACCAGAACAGAGCAGGUUGGAAAGAUGAUAAUUGUACCUUCAUCUUUUACAGGAGGCAGAAGAUACAAGGCACAGAACUUGCAAGACGCUUUUGCAAUAUGCCGUUGGGCUGGAUAUCCAGACCUGUUUAUAACAUUCACAUGCAAUGCAAAGUGGCCCGAGAUCCAAUACAUGCUAGAUGAAGCAGGAGGAGGCCUAAUCCAGCCGACCGGCCAGAUAUUGUUGAUCGAGUAUUCAUGAUAAAACUGAAGGAGUUGAUGAGAGACAUCGUUGUGAAGAAACACUUUGGAGAAACGAUAGCAAGUAAGAUCAGUCGACUACUCAUCGCAACUAAUAGCAUCUAAAUUUUUAAUAGUUUUAGCACACUAUAGCCUUUGUCUAUUUAAUAAAAUGCUUCUGAAAUGUAACAAAACCAAACUAUGUAUUCAAUCAAUGCAGUUAUCUACGCGAUAGAGUUCCAGAAGAGGGGACUCCCGCAUGCGCACAUACUGGUAUUCCUCAAAGAGAAUUACAAGUGCAAAGGACCAUCAGAAAUUGACCAAAUAAUCAGUGUGGAGAUCCCAGACAAAGAUGUCGAUCCGGACGGAUAUGCAGCUGUUGAGAAUUUCAUGAUGCACGGGCCUUGCGGAGAGGCAAAUACAAAAUCGCCAUGCAUGAUGGAGAACAGAUGUAGUAAACACUUCCCAAAAGGAUACAAUGUCGAUAGCACAAUCGAUGAGGAUGGCUUUCCAGUAUAUAGAAGGCGAGACAAUGGAAGGAAGAUUAAAAAGGGAGGAGCAAUGCUCGACAACAGAUUUGUCGUGCCAUACAACAGAAACCUUUUGGUCAAAUUCCAAGCUCACAUAAAUGUCGAGUGGUGCAACAGGUCCAGGUCAAUCAAGUACCUAUUUAAGUACAUCCAUAAAGACGACGACCAAGUAACAGCCUUACUAAAGGAAAGGGAUGCGGCAAACGAUUAUGAUGAAAUCAGGAAAUACCUAGAGAUGAGAUACAUAUCAACAACCGAAGCAUGCUGGCGGAUAUUCCAGUUUGAUCUUCACCAUCGUGAUCCACCCGUCGAGAGACUGCCAUUCCACAUUGAAAAUGAGCAACAAGUCAUUUUUCCGGACUCGACUGACAUCGAGAAGAUAGUAAGAAGACCAGGAUCCACAAGUACAAAGUUCACUGAGUGGAUGGAGGCAAACAAAAUACAUGAGGUGGGAAAAGAAUUAACCUAUGCAGAAUUCCCAUCAAAAUUUGUAUGGAAAAGUGAAAGCAAAACUUGGGAGGAGCGGAAAAGGGGCUUUGCGAUUGGAAGAAUCUACUAUGCACACCCUGCAAGUGGCGACCGGUAUUAUAUGAGAAUGCUUCUAAACACCAAGAAAGGAUGCACAUCAUUUGAGGAUAUUAGAACAGUUAAUGGAGUUGUUCACCCAACAUACAAAUCAGCAUGCCAAGCGCUUGGAUUUCUUGAUGACGAUGCUGAGUGGAUUGAAUGCAUCAAUGAAGCAUCAAGCUGGGGAUCAGGGACACAGUUACGACAACUAUUCACCACAAUUUUAUGCCAUUGUGAGGUGACCAGCCCAAAGAUGUUGUGGGAUUCAACAUGGGAGGCACUGUCUGAAGAUAUCCAGUACAAAAGAAGAAUUAUCCUAAACUUUCCUACGCUGCAGCUUACUGAUUCACAGAAAAAAGCAUAUGCUUUGAUUGAGAUAGAGAAACUAAUGAGGCAAGCAGGAAAGACACUAAAGGACUAUUCAGACAUAGAACUACCAAAUGCUAUAGAACUUGAACAACUUGGAAACAGGAUGAUAAACGAAGAACUCAGCUAUGACAUGGAGGCACUAAAGAGUGAGCACCAAAUAAUAAUAAACAAUCUUAACCACGACCAGAAAAUGGCUUUUGAUGCAAUAAUGGAAUCAGCUGAGAGAGGACUUGGAAAACAGAUAUUUGUAGAAGGCUAUGGUGGCACAGGGAAAACCUAUCUAUGGAAAGCAAUUACAACGAAGCUACAAUCAGAGGGAAAGAUAGUGCUUGCGGUAGCAUCAUCUGGCAUUGCAGCUUUGCUGCUCCAAGGUGGAAGAACAGCGCACUCAAGAUUCCACAUUCCAAUAAAUAUCACAGAAGAAUCAACAUGUGAAAUAAAACAAGGCUCACAUUUGGCUGAACUGGUAAAGAAGACCUCACUGAUACUGUGGGACGAGGCUCCUAUGGCAAACAAAAACUGCUUUGAGGCACUAGACAAAAGCCUUAGGGAUAUUCUAAGGUUCACAAACCAAAAUAGUGACGAAAGGCCAUUUGGUGGUAUGACAGUUGUGCUAGGAGGCGACUUCAGACAAAUACUUCCAGUGAUAACAAAGGGAAAGAGAGAGCACAUAGUAAAUGCCUCAAUCAAAAGGUCAUACCUAUGGAAGGACUUUCAAAUAUUUAGACUAACUGAAAACAUGCGGCUGAAGUGCCUGUCAGAAGAUCCAAUACAAAGGCAAAAUGUGGCUGAAUUUGCAGAAUGGAUAUUACAAAUUGGCGAUGGAAAAAAAACAAACGAUGAUGGAGAUGAUUGGGUAAGAAUACCUAAAGACAUAAUUCUACAUAAAGGAGAAGACCCCAAAGAAGAGAUAGUCAAAAGCACGUACCCAAACUUGCAACAAAACUAUCGUGACCGUGAAUUUCUCGAAGAAAGAGCAAUACUAUGCCCAAGGAAUGAAACAGUUGAGAAGAUAAAUGACUACAUAAUGAGCCAAAUACAAGGUGAAGAGGUGACAUACCUAAGCUUGGACACUAUAUGCAAGGCAACAAUGAAGUACAACACAAUGGAGAAUAUGUGUCCAACGGAGUUCCUUAACAAGAUGACCUUCCCAGGAAUUCCAAACCACGAGCUUAAACUGAAGGUAGGUUUGCCGGUGAUGCUCCUACGAAACAUCAAUCAAGCGGCAGGUUUAUGCAAUGGCACAAGAAUGACUAUCACACAGCUGGAAACAGGUACAUUGAAGCACAAAUAAUCACAGGAACACACGUUGGUGACAAGGUAUACAUACCUAAAAUCAUUAUGUCACCAAGCGACUCGAAGUGGCCCUUCGUGCUGAAAAGAAGGCAAUAUCCUCUAUCAGUUUGUUUUGCAAUGACGAUAAAUAAAAGUCAAGGUCAAUCCCUAAACAAGGUGGGCCUAUAUUUGCCUAAGCAAGUCUUCUGCCAUGGACAACUAUAUGUGGCAUUAUCAAGAGUCACAAACAGAGAAGGAUUAAAGGUGCUGAUCGACGACAAUGAGUGCCCAAGCGAAGAUAGCGCAAAGAAUAUAGUAUACAAAGAGAUCUUCUAAUUCUUUGUUAUUCAAACAAAUGCAUACGAGGGCCAAAUAAUAAUGAUUAUAAACAAUACAAUGUAUGGUUCAAAAGCGUGACAUCCAUAUGUUUGAUAUAUGGUCGGAAACACUGUAUACAAAAAGAUGUUAUAGAUUGGAUUUCUUAUUAAUUCGUAAGCAACAAAUAAGAACAUGACAAUGCAUAGUACUAUUGCCAUACACUUAUUUCAUGCAUAGAGAGUGUGUACAUGUAGCCUACUUUCCACAUGGCCAAAAGUUUUAAAAUCUUAUUACAAAUUAAGAAUAAUAACCACUCUGAUAAACAUGAUUCUCAGAAAUCUCAUUAGACGACAAGAUUUUAUAAGAUUUUAUUAGAUUGCAUUUGUGUGUGUUCAGCAUAUAGCACUGCCUCUACGUGGUAAUUAAGACGCAACGUAAAUCACUGAACUUGAAAACUUAACCUGCAGCUACACGAAUACAUGUCUCACAUUAAGCUCAUGUUUUGCUACAUAGCUCAGUGAAAGUGCAUGUAAACCUCCUUUUUUUACUGUCAAACAAUAAUUAGAUGCAAGGGUCUCUUGCCAAGUUUAGUUAGACUCUAUUCAAGCAGAUCCAUAUGUUUGCUUUACUGUGUUCUCUACUGCAGAAUUCAGAGAACAAGUAUAAUUGCACUUCUCCGCACAGAAAGUUAUGGUAUGAUUUCUGAUUUCACACAAAAAGUUGUUUCGCAAUGGAAAGAUAAAAUCUUAUCUGUUUUCUACAUCAUUCAACUUUACAAAAACUUAUAUGGUUGCAAUAUAACUUAUAUUUGGUAGAAGUACGGACAGCAGGAGGGCGACACCUGAUACGCACCACAUGUCCAGGUCUCGGCAAAAAAUGGCCACCAGCAUGAUAUCCUCCAAGCUUUGGCCAUGGAUGGGCAAGCGAAUUAAUCUGAUACGCCAUAUUCACUACAGAUUGGGUACAUCAUCUCCCAAUGGACGAGCAAGAAACUCAAAUUUGGGCCAACGGCCUCCAUUUCUUUUUUCCCUUAAGGACGAAGGAAAGAAGGAACUGUGUUUUCCCCCUGUACUAAAAACUAAGAAGGAGAGGCGUACUUCCAUUCAGAAAAAAAUUGGUUAAUGAAAUUAUGAUGAACAUUAUUCAAAGCAAGAGGCGAGUGGGAGAGCACAAAGGGAUUCAUACCUGUGAGCACAUCCGCAGCCUAAGACGAUAGGAACCACACACAGAAGAUGGCCCCUGAACCCAACGCCACAUCUAAAUGUCCCAGCGCCAAUGGACUGCAUAGCCAAAAGUGAGAUGUCGCAUCGCUGGUGAACCACGCCUGAUCCGGAGCGCAUGUC
Molecule: long non-coding RNA, 6521 nt
Filed under: Triticum aestivum (bread wheat)
Lineage: Eukaryota; Viridiplantae; Streptophyta; Magnoliopsida; Poales; Poaceae
Description: long non-coding RNA (TAES_LNC016343)
Source: RNAcentral